GUGGGAUGAGCCAUACAACAACAAAAUCACUAGUCUUCCACAGGGCAUCGCGGCCAUCAUCAUCCCAUCACCGCCAUGCAGAUGUCAGCCACCGUCGUGGGGAUGCAGGGUCAGCAGGUGAACAGCAGCAACCUUUGUCUCCAUCCAAGUCAGAAUUGCUUUAAAUUGGACCACGUGAGUGCCCCUCAAUCCCACUGACCAUGGCUUAGCAGAGGACUGCGCUCACCCCACAGUGCAGAGGGAGGAAGAGUUACAGAGGGACAAAAAGGACUGUCCGAUGCAAGGGAGAAUAUGGGAAGCCAGGUGGGAAGGAGAUGCCAAGGGGAGCUCCCUUGGAGAAGCGUGGUGUGGGGCACAGUGCUGGGUGUCGCAGUGCUGCGGUGUGUGCAGAGCAUGCCGGAGCCCAGGGACGUUUCUGCAGCAUUUGUGCUAUUGGAAAUAAUAACAAAAUCAGUAAAACUCGGGGCGGAUCACGGAGUGAAUAACAGGGUGAAUGUGCAGGGUGAAUAAUGUACGAGGCUGGCCCUGCUCCAAGCCUGGGCUCAGACUGAGUGCCGGGUGGCUGUGCCCCCCUCCUGCCCUUGCAAGAAGAGCCUUUGGGUCAUUCUUUGGGCACAGUGUCUGCCCCUGGCUGUCCCUGCUCAUGCCUGCGGGGCUUUCUACAAAGAUAUGGAUCCCUUUGGGAGGAUUUCAGUGAUUUAUGUCUAACGUGGGGCUCUGCAGAGAGUGCCCAUGGGUGGUGUAGGCUGACAGAUGCGUUUGUCCUCCGUCCUCCCCUGUCCCCAGUUGUGUCCCUGCCCAUGUGUGGUGGCUGUAGGCACAGGGAUGGGAUGUUUGGGAUGGGAGCUGAGCGCACGCCAAGUCCCUGCACUGGGAGGUGGCAGCAGCGGCCAAUUAAUGUGAUCAUGUGUAUGAAUGCGGAUCAGCAAUUCCAGGUGAAGUCCCUGAGCGUCGUGCUGAGAUGAACAAAGCUGCUCACCCGGCCAGGACCCCUGCCAGCACCAGUACAUCCCUGCUGUGACUCCAAAAUGUCUCAUUUCCCAAUCCCAACCGCAGCGCAUCUCUAUUUCUCCUAUUAACCACCUGCGUGCUGCUGGCUGUCCCCAUUCCCUGCUUCCUCCCUGGGGUUGGGGACAUCUUAUGACCAUGGGGACAGCGGGUGGGGAGCUCAGGGUGAUGCUGCUAUGGGGCCAUGGGGCAGCAGGGAAGCAAACCCAACCCACCCUGCUUUGCUGGCUCACCCCCAGGAGAGCAGUAAGCAAUUAGGGACUGCACGGAGGCUUCAUUAUAGCUCUGUCAUGGCCUUGUUUGAUGAGACAUUUUAUUGCCAAACUUAUUAAAAGUGAAACGUGCAGUUUCUGCGCAGCAAUUUCCUGUCUGUGGCGAUAAGCUGGGCUGUGCCUGCUGUGUAAUAAACUGUUAUUUUUAUGUAUGGCCCCGGCUGGGGUGGCAGGGAGGAGAGAAGGCUUGUCUAGUGUUAAUUGCAAUGGUUAAUGAGAUCUAUUUUGGGACUUAGGCACAAGGUGGUGCUGCCCUCCCCUGCCAUCGCUCUGCGGCUGUGGUGCCUCCAGUGACUUUGUGCUCUGGGUUUGGGGAUAGGCUCAGAUUCCCCCUUUCUCACCCUUUCUCCUCUUCCUCCCCAAAAAAGCUGGGCCUGGCCAUCUAGGCACACCCAGCCCCAAACCCUUAACUAGAAGUUAGAGAAUAACAGAAUGGCUUAGGGCUGCCCAGAGCCCCAUCCAACCUGGCACUGAGCACCUCUAGGGAUGGGGCACCAACAGCUCUGGGCAAGUCACACAUCUGCUGUGAACCCCCCCUGAUGUGCAUUGAGUUGUCCUAUGUAGAGCCAGGAGUUGGACUCGAUGAUCCCUGUAGUUCCCUUCCAACCUGGGAUAUACUAUGAUUCUAUGAUUCUACCCCAUGCUUUUUGCAUGGAUGAGCAAGGAGGUGCUCCUUGAGGGACGUGGUUCACAAUCCCAGUAUCCCCUAUGCUGCAGCACUGGUCCUACCUGUGUAUCCCAGCAUCCCCAUUGCAUCCCCCAUACCCCAUACAUAGGACUGCUCUUCCUAAAUUGCAACACCUCACAAAUGUCAUCUUGCUCUGUCAGAAACAAAAUGUCCUCUCCAGGUGCAUCUGUUUAAUUACAUCUUUUUAAUACGUUCUGAUUGGGAACUUUUCUUUAAGAUGGAACGUAUCAAAUUAGACUUACAAAAAUCCUGAUUAUUAUUAUUACUUUUUUUCGUAGCUGGCCAAAGAAACCCAUUGAAUUCAAUCUGGGGCCACUCCACUUUUCCUGAUAAACAAUUUGUCAGGAAAAAUUCCCUCUUGGCUCAGGGAGCCACACGAGUUACUUGUCAGCAACCAGAGCCCUGUUGGGUGUUUCCCAUCUGACUUCUCUUCUUAACAGCAGCUUUAUUGGUCUGGGAAUUAAUGAUGGAAAAUGCGAUACUUGCUAUUCAUUGCAUCCAUCCAAAAUGCCACUCAACUCAUCAGGCUGCAGAAGGAAAGUAAAGCACUCUCAAGGCUCCCACAUCCCUGUGUGCCACCGCCAUGCAGCGGCGUCACCCCAAUUUGCUCCCUGAGGUUGGGAGACCACACCAGGUUCCCUGUCCCCAUCUCUGUCCCUGAUCCCUUCCCAGCCCCUCACUGGGUGAACUCCCUCCAUCACCAGCCCCGGCCCUCGUUAAUUUGUAUUGCAGCGUGUGUUGCGGGCUGACGUGUAAUUAGAGCUCCUGAAGCCUGUCUCAUGCUGUAAUUGCCAUGACAGGGGCCACAGCAUAUCCGCUUGUUAAUUAGUAAACCACAAUAUCCCGGGGGCUCAUUGAGAGCUGCCUUAAUUGUAUUUCAGCUGGAACAGAGGGAUAAUUACCCUUCGCUAGCACUGCCACUUUUUAAUACUUUAGAAAUAAAUAAAUAAAUAAAUAUGAAGAAAAAACCCAAACUGAGCUCCUCUUCCUCCUGGCAGCCUCUUCCUCACCCUCUGGAGCACCCUGACCUGGCUUUGCUGCAUCCUUCAAAGCAACCUGACCUGAGUUUCCUUUACCUGCGUUGGGCCAUGUGUGGGCUGGAUGUCACCAACCAGCGUUGUUUUCAGUGCAGAAACUUCAGGAGGAUCCAGGCAAUGGGAUUCCUCAAAUAAUAGAAGCAUUCCCUCCGUUCUUCAGUGUGAAGGGUGUCCCGUAGGGUGCGGAGGUGCUGGGGCUCAGCACUACAGUCAGCUCUUGGUUGGAUCAGAGUUUGGGGAAGGUGAAUCUGGGGAGCGAUGUUACCACUCAGCAUCCAUCCUUUUCCUUCUGCUUCUCCUCCAGCCAACACAAAGAGCUUGGCACCAGCAGCCAGGCAAAUUUGUGCUGUUAAAAAAGUCAUAUAAUGGGCAACCAACCUCUGGGAGACGGUGUGUGAAUUGGUUGAAAUAACAGGCCUGGCUCUCUCUCCUGGGAAGCUUCAUGGAGGUCAGCCUUGAAGAAAAGAGCGGUACAGCAGCUCCGAGCAUUAGCAAGAAGAAAUAACUGAAGCAGAGAGACUUGAACGUAAUUACAGGCUAAGAGCUGUGAUGGGAACUCAGCGACCUGAGCCCAUCUUCUGGACUUCAGUGCAAUCAACAGAUUGACACCACCAGCUCGUGAAGGCUGGUUUCUGGAAGCCGUGUGAUGGUGCUGAAUGCCAGAGCAGGUGGAGAAGCAGCACAGGUGGCUGUUCCAUAGGCUGGAGCUGGGAAAGGGUCUCAAAUGCCACGGAAGAAGCAGAUGGAGGCAACCACUGGAACGCUCCGUGCUUAAUUGAGGGCACCUUCAAGGGUGAGCACAAGGUGCCUGCCCAACACCAGGAUGCUCUGCCGCUGCCAUGUGAGUCGCUGUCAUUAGAACCAAGAGUGGAGUUUAUAGCUGAGUAACCACAACAACUUUGCACAAAUUAAACAGCAUACUGCAGGUUAAUUAGAUUUCUUACUGCUGCCUCAAUUAACUUAGCCCUGUCAUCUGCUGUAAGAAGUGGAUGGAGACCCUUUGAAAUUCACAGGCUCUAUCGCUGGAAGAUGGGAAUGGCCAAACCUCUCCCUGGGCAACCACACCUGUGAGUGGUGUGUGUUUGCAUGGAUGGGCGAUGCCAUCUUCUGUGCCUGGAAACCCCUUUGUGUGACAGGGGAGAACAACACGAGAUGCACUUGUCCUCUGCCAGCAUAGUUACCAAGGAGGAUUUCCCCUCUGGUGUUGUCAAACUCCCCUUGUCAUAAGGCAAUCUUUAAAAAGAAAAAGCAACAACAACAACAACAAAAAAAACAUAUCUGGAGGAAAAGUCUUCCUUUUUAUUUUUUAAAUCAUUCCACACAACGCUGUGUGAAUGCAGAUAAAUAAAAGGGCCCCCUAUGAAAACA
This is a non-coding RNA of Coturnix japonica (Japanese quail), 4373 nucleotides long. NCBI's taxonomy places the organism in Eukaryota, Metazoa, Chordata, Aves, Galliformes, Phasianidae. The record is from RefSeq and is a predicted model, not a curated record.